CCUACGGGAGGCAGCAGUGGGGAAUAUUGCACAAUGGGGGAAACCCUGAUGCAGCGACGCCGCGUGAAGGAAGAAGUAUUUCGGUAUGUAAACUUCUAUCAGCAGGGAAGAAAAUGACGGUACCUGACUAAGAAGCCCCGGCUAACUACGUGCCAGCAGCCGCGGUAAUACGUAGGGGGCAAGCGUUAUCCGGAUUUACUGGGUGUAAAGGGAGCGUAGGCGGUGCAGCAAGUCAGAAGUGAAAGCCCGGGGCUUAACUGCGGGACUGCUUUUGAAACUGGUGAACUAGAGUGCGGGAGAGGUAAGUGGAAUUCCUAGUGUAGCGGUGAAAUGCGUAGAUAUUAGGAGGAACACCAGUGGCGAAGGCGGCUUACUGGACUGUAAAUGACGCUGAGGCUCGAAAGCGUGGGGAGCAAACAGGAUUAGAUACCCGUGUAGUC
Molecule: ribosomal RNA, 440 nt
Filed under: uncultured bacterium
Lineage: Bacteria
Description: partial 16S ribosomal RNA
Rfam family: Bacterial small subunit ribosomal RNA
Source: RNAcentral